UACGUAGGUCCCGAGCGUUGUCCGGAUUUAUUGGGCGUAAAGCGAGCGCAGGUGGUUUAAUAAGUCUGGUGUAAAAGGCAGUGGCUCAACCAUUGUGUGCAUUGGAAACUGUUAGACUUGAGUGCAGUAGAGGAGAGUGGAAUUCCAUGUGUAGCGGUGAAAUGCGUAGAUAUCGGGAGGAACACCAGUAGCGAAGGCGGCCAUCUGGCUGGUAACUGACGCUGAGGUGCGAGAGCGUGGGGAGCAAACAGG
This 252-nucleotide ribosomal RNA is filed under the name uncultured microorganism. RNAcentral describes it as "partial 16S ribosomal RNA". It matches the Rfam family "Bacterial small subunit ribosomal RNA", at positions 524 to 776 of the family's 1533-position model. The record is from RNAcentral.